GAAGGUGAGUUCUUCAAUAGUGGCCAAUGCCACUAACACGAGUGGGUAUCAUGUGUCACUGAGAUAUUGAUGCAGAUAAGGGACGGUAAAAUGUUGCAAUAAUAAAAAUGGGGUUGCCCCCAUAAUAUCGGAAGUUCGGAACAAUAAGAUCUUGGGUCUUUGGCGAGAACAUUAAACUGUUCCAUGUACCUAUUCAGGACACAGGUAAAAAGAACAAGUUAAUCAGAGGAAGAUACCGACAAUCAUGACCUUGUGAAACUGGCUCCCGUCAAGUUGCUAUCAACAUGAUC
This 290-nucleotide long non-coding RNA is filed under the name Setaria viridis. RNAcentral describes it as "long non-coding RNA (SVIR_LNC010475)". Lineage: Eukaryota; Viridiplantae; Streptophyta; Magnoliopsida; Poales; Poaceae. The record is from RNAcentral.